This 500-nucleotide ribosomal RNA is filed under the name uncultured bacterium. Its description in RNAcentral is "partial 16S ribosomal RNA". It matches the Rfam family "Bacterial small subunit ribosomal RNA", at positions 30 to 523 of the family's 1533-position model. The record is from RNAcentral.
AUUGAACGCUGGCGGCAUGCCUUACACAUGCAAGUCGAACGGCAGCACGGGAGCAAUCCUGGUGGCGAGUGGCGAACGGGUGAGUAAAGUAUCGGAACGUGCCCAGUCGUGGGGGAUAACGUAGCGAAAGUUACGCUAAUACCGCAUACGAUCUAUGGAUGAAAGCGGGGGAUCGCAAGACCUCGCGCGAUUGGAGCGGCCGAUAUCAGAUUAGGUAGUUGGUGGGGUAAAGGCGCACCAAGCCGACGAUCUGUAGCUGGUCUGAGAGGACGACCAGCCACACUGGGAAUGAGACACGGCCCAGACUCCUACGGGAGGCAGCAGUGGGGAAUUUUGGACAAUGGGCGAAAGCCUGAUCCAGCCAUGCCGCGUGCAGGAUGAAGGCCUUCGGGUUGUAAACUGCUUUUGUACGGAACGAAAAGGUUUGGCCUAAUAAGCUGAGCUCAUGACGGUACCGUAAGAAUAAGGAUCGGCUAACUCCGUGCCAGCCGCCGCCGUAA